This is a long non-coding RNA of Contarinia nasturtii (swede midge), 351 nucleotides long. RefSeq lists it as uncharacterized. The record is from RefSeq and is a predicted model, not a curated record. The transcript has 2 exons. NCBI's taxonomy places the organism in Eukaryota, Metazoa, Arthropoda, Insecta, Diptera, Cecidomyiidae.
AAUUUCUCGUUAUUGAUACCUUUUAAAUGCUGAUUUCGCUACUUCACAUCACAAUAGGAACAUAUAAAAUGUGUCAAGGUCGACGGAAGAACGUACGUUAUGGGUAGUGAGACACUAGGAUCAAGUUACGCCGCUCAUGGAGGUGGUAGUAAAUAUUGGAUUGAGUUUGGAAAAGGUCCGAAGGGCAAAUGUUCAGUUAACACAUGUAGUGAUGACUAUGGAUGGGGCAGCUGUUCGGCCAAAGUAACCAGCCAAUAAAUGGAAUAGUCAAAUCAAAAAUAUAGAUGAUAACAUGCAAUAAUGUUCCGCAUUUUUUGAAAAAUAUAUAAUUUCAUGUUAUAACAAAAAGAU